Ciona savignyi (Pacific transparent sea squirt) is the source of this 98-nucleotide non-coding RNA. NCBI's taxonomy places the organism in Eukaryota, Metazoa, Chordata, Ascidiacea, Phlebobranchia, Cionidae. The record is from Rfam.
GCUUAUCACCAUUCCAGAUUGAAUAUACCCGAUCUCGUCUGAUCUCGGAAGUCAAGCAAUCUCGGGCUUGGUUAGUACUUGGAUGGGUGACCGCUUGG